RNAcentral lists this non-coding RNA (280 nucleotides) under Pongo abelii (Sumatran orangutan). Lineage: Eukaryota; Metazoa; Chordata; Mammalia; Primates; Hominidae. The record is from RNAcentral.
GAGGGCGCCGGAGCCGGGCAGGGCGGAGAGAUGCGCCAGCGGACUUCUAUUUGGAACUGAGUCCGACAGCUCAGGACUGGCUGCUCAGACUCCACAAUUUAAUGAAAAAUCUGAGAUGAUGACUCAGAAAACCUCUAACGAUCUGAGGAAUAUAUUAAGGGAUUCCAAAGUCAAAGGCUGAUCAUGGAGGGCAUUGAUGAGGGGAGACUUCAGGUGGCCAGAGACUAGAAGAAAGGAACACCGGAAGAAUGAAAACGGUUGUGAUGCACUGCAGUGUGAA